This 77-nucleotide non-coding RNA is filed under the name Licmophora paradoxa. The record is from RNAcentral. Lineage: Eukaryota; Bacillariophyta; Fragilariophyceae; Licmophorales; Licmophoraceae.
UGAUCGUUUCUCUUUUCCUUUUUUUUUCUCUUUUUCUGAUUUUUAUCGUUCGCCAUGAGCCAAUUUAUCAAAACAGC